AUAACCUUCCGAAAGGAGGGCUAAUACCGCAUGAGACCACGAGGUCGAGAGGCCAUGAGGUCAAAGCCGGCCACUUCACGAAAGCUGGCGCUUGAGGGUGAACCUGCGGCCCAUCAGCUAGUUGGUAGGGUAACGGCCUACCAAGGCAAAGACGGGUAGCUGGUCUGAGAGGAUGAUCAGCCACACUGGAACUGAGACACGGUCCAGACUCCUACGGGAGGCAGCAGUGGGGAAUCUUGCGCAAUGGGCGAAAGCCUGACGCAGCGACGCCGCGUGGGUGAUGAAGGCCUUCGGGUUGUAAAGCCCUGUGGGGAGGAACGAACCGUACGGGGGCGAACACCCUCCGUACCUGACGGUACCUCCUUAGCAAGCAUCGGCUAACUCUGUG
This 388-nucleotide ribosomal RNA is filed under the name uncultured bacterium. RNAcentral's name for it is "bacterial SSU rRNA". It matches the Rfam family "Bacterial small subunit ribosomal RNA", at positions 143 to 507 of the family's 1533-position model. The record is from RNAcentral.